GUGAAAGUCACGGCGGUCCGUCGAGGUUCGCGAAGAGCUGCGCCAAAACACGUCAUUUACACUGCUGUACCGUGUCGUUUCGCGUUCAAAGGAGAACCUGGAUUGCUUUAUGAAGAAAUAACUAUUCGACUUGACCAGCACCGCGCCAGUAUUGCGCGGACAACACCAGCAAUAGCGCCUCCCAGGGCCUCAUCUCCACCUACUUUUGAAUGUGUAAAAAAUGAACCUUUUCUGUGAUUUUAAC
Scleropages formosus (Asian bonytongue) is the source of this 244-nucleotide long non-coding RNA. RefSeq lists it as uncharacterized. Lineage: Eukaryota; Metazoa; Chordata; Actinopteri; Osteoglossiformes; Osteoglossidae. The transcript has 3 exons. The record is from RefSeq and is a predicted model, not a curated record.